CUGUGAGUUUAACACUUCAUGACUGAGAGCUGUCCUUCAUGACAACAGAACCCACAACAACCAUGGCUUUCAUCACCAUCUUCAUCUGGACACUUGUCUUCUACAUACAAGAAUCCAGAGGACAGUACACUCUGACUCAGACACCUGCAGUGAAAGCUGAUGGCAAUGGAGAGACGGUCAACAUUGGCUGUAAACUCAGCAGUGGUAUAUACAGUAAUUACCUGCACUGGUACCUACAGAGACCUGGAGAAGCUCCUAAACUCCUCAUUUAUCAGAUAAACAACAAGUUCACUGGGACUCCAUCUAGAUUCAGUGGUAGUGGAUCUGGGACUGACUUCACUCUGACCAUCAGUGGAGUCCAGGCUGAAGAUGCAGGAGAUUACUACUGUCAGAGUUUACACUAUCCCAACAGUGUUUGGGUGUUCACACAGUGAUACAGAGCCGUACAAAAACCUCCCUCAGUCAGACUGCACAGUGACUGAGGGAGAAGAGACAGUGACAUUGAACACUGAUCAGUGACGAAACUUUGAAUAACGUUAGAAACCUUCAUUCAGAUCACAUGUUCUCCAUCGUCAUCAACAGUAUCAUCAUCACCACCAUCACCAUCAUCAUCAUGUCAUGGUUGACUCAUUAUAUUUGUCACAACCUGAAAGUACAUCUAUAAAUGUUAUUUGAUGCUAUAAAACACACACAAUAUCAGUCCAUAUUCAAGUGAGGUGAUGUUACAUCAGCAUCAGCACCAUAAAAAGAAUCUCCAUAUGAACCUCACAACCAAACAUGUGAUGUGAUCAUCUAGCAUUAUAUGAACUAUCUUGAUGAGCAGGUUACUGACUGUUACAUUAGUGAAUGAGACAUGAUGCUGGGCUCAAAUAUUAAAAAUGUUUAUGCACAUAUCUAA
Non-coding RNA from Oncorhynchus tshawytscha (Chinook salmon), 898 nucleotides. Lineage: Eukaryota; Metazoa; Chordata; Actinopteri; Salmoniformes; Salmonidae. The record is from the annotation of a RefSeq genome assembly.